GUUAUGGGUUAACAGACUACUACUGUUUUGUUCGGCUUAGCGGUCGAAUGACCGUAUAUGACGGCGUUUAGUCACCGUUAGUUUCUGGUCAAACUUGGCGUGAAAGUGGGUGAGAGAGACUUCUUGAAUCAGUCGGGUCAGAGGACUCCGGUUUGUUCUUUGGAGUUUGGAGGGCAUCGCUCACAAUCAUUUCAUUUCACCAACACAAGCACUCCCGAAGAAGGCCACCACCGCGUCAGAGAAAAAUGACAUAUAUUGACUCGGACUUAGACCGGAAAAAGGAGAAAGCAAAGGACAAAGAGGGAAGAAAAAAUGAUAGUUUGCCUUAGACGCCGCCGAAGUGGCAGGUCAGAGCUAGGGUUACAGCUCUCUUUUGGUGUCUCUCUUUCUCUCUACCCAAUCCUAACUCUAAACCCAUCCCCUAGAAGCUUUUUAUACUUUUCUUACUUCUCAACUUCUACUCUUGUUCUUUAAGAAUAUACAUUGUGCUUUGCACGGUUCGUUUGUCAGUCUUUUCCAUGUAUGAUCUUUUUCUUUUAUCUUUUGUUGUCUCAAGGCUUUUUGCCUUCAUUUGUUUUCAAGGAUCAUUUCUACUUAAAUCUCUAGGACAGGAGUGUUUCUCUUUUUAUAACCAUUCCCUUUUCUUGAUUGCUUUUCAUUCUUUAUUAUUAUUUUUUUGGUUUAUAAACCCAAAUCAUUAGGCUUUUGCCUUCAUUGGUGUUUAGUUUUUCAUUUUCUCCUCUUGCAACCUCCACUCCAUGAUCAAUCUUUCUUUGUUGAAAUAUAAUUUGUUUCUUUUAAACUUCACACUCAUAUUUCUUCCCGCUUCGGAACCAGAAUCGGGAUCAGAAUCUUGUAGAAGCUUAUGGAAUUCUGCUUCUAAAAUGCUUCUAAAAUAUUCUUUUAAAAACAUGUUGGAAGCUUAUGAUUCCGUUUUGGAAUCACACUUCCAUUCUUUAAAAAAAUUAUCUUUAUGCAUUGAGGUUUUUAUUAAAGAUAAUCAUAUAUUCAAAAAUAUUAUGACAAUUAAUUAUAAAGUACUAAAUAAUUAGUAUAAUAAUGUAUUUUAAAUUUAAUUUAUGUGUAUUUUCAAAAUUUUAAUAUGAAAUCAUUUCAAAAUUAUUAUAAAUGAAUAAAAGCUUUAUAUUAAAUUGAAAUCAUAUAAUUUUUAGUUCUAGAUUUUUAAAAAUCUAAUAACAUAGACUUAGAAAAAGCAUGUUAGUAACAUGGACAUGAGAUGUAACAAAGCAUGUUUCUUAAAAAAAAUUUUUGUUCAGCAGUAUGUCUCUUAAUCCAAAGUGUUUACAAAAUUAAUAAUAUAACAAGUUAAUUUCUGCAAUAAUAUAAAUGAAUACUUUGAUGUGAUUAAAAGUAUGAUGAUAUGUAAAGCAAUACAAUUUUGGAAUAAUUAAAAUGAAUGUUUGUGUGUUUCGUAUAAUAAAUAUCAUAAAAUGCAUCAACCAUUAUUUUCAUUAUUUGAUAUAUAACAAACAAAUAUAUUUUAAACAAUAUUGAAAUUGCAGCUUCAAAUUGCAUAAUAACUUGUAUAAAGUCUUGACGAAUUCACAUUUAUAAAAAUUGAUUACCAUUUGAAAUUAGUUAUAGAUCAUGUCAAAUAUCACAUAUUGUCAUAUUACAUAUAUAAAAGAAAAUUAUAAAUAAUACACACCCUUAAACCUAAAUUAACCUUUGUUACUAUUAGGAAUAAAAUAGAACAUAUAAUUGUAUAUUUUAACGCACUUUUAUAUAUUUUCGAUUAUUGUUUUGGAACUGAAAAUAGACAGCCCUUUGUCAAAAUCUAGUUUGCAAAUUAAAAUGAUUGCAUAUGUAUAUGUAUAAAUCCAGCUGGUUGUAUUGGGCCACAAUGCUUUAGAUAUUGCCGGAUUUCCAGUCUGCAGCUCUGGCUCUAGACAUAAAUUUCAAAAAUUAACUAAGCAAGUGUAAGAUGAUGAAAAAAAUAAUUGUAUAUGCAUAUAAAGAACUCGCUUCUUUUUUAACAACAAUAAAGAAUUCACCCAACUUUUGAGAAUUCAUAAUUGUACUAUCCAAGAGGUUCCCUAUUAUUUUACUAUUACAAUAAAAUUACACAAAACAAAAAAGAAAGUAAGAAGUGUGUAUCUUAACGGAAAAAAGCUUCCAAAGAAUAUUACAGAAAAAAAAGAGCUUCCAAA
Molecule: long non-coding RNA, 2171 nt
Organism: Brassica rapa (field mustard)
Lineage: Eukaryota; Viridiplantae; Streptophyta; Magnoliopsida; Brassicales; Brassicaceae
Source: RefSeq, a predicted model, not a curated record